Non-coding RNA from Macaca mulatta (Rhesus monkey), 1990 nucleotides. The record is from RefSeq and is a predicted model, not a curated record. NCBI's taxonomy places the organism in Eukaryota, Metazoa, Chordata, Mammalia, Primates, Cercopithecidae.
GCAGAUUAUGUCCUUCCAUUUAGAGAGACUAUUGCCAAUAAAUUCAGUAGAUGGAAGACUGGAUGUUGAUCCAGUCAGGCUUACCAACAUGUGAUGAUUCACUCAGAAGCUGUGUGAAAUACUCCUUCGUGACAAUUACUAAGACCGACUGUUUAAAUUCCUCUGACCAUCAAUAUGGAAGCCAUCCAGAAGAACAGGAUUUUGCUGAGUAAUGAGGGGAGCAUAUAGAUAAUCUCUAAAAUACCCAUGUCCUUGGGGCCAGUCUGUGGUACCUAAUUUCAAGUUGUCUAAACUUUAGCUCCUUUCUUAUCUCUAAGCUUCAGGAUGUCCUGCAAACACAGUCAAUCUGCCUCAGUUAUCACAGCAGGGGGCUAAAGGGCAGGGCCUGUGAUUCAGAAGGAAUUCAGCAGAGACAAGCAGUGGGCGGAUGUGGUGGCCGCUGAAUGGCAGGAGAUGAUGGGUCCAAGGAUGCAGCAUUGGUUGAGCUAUCAGUGACUGAGGAAUGAUUAAUAAAACAUGUAAACAUUCCCCAGAGAAUUCCCAGAAAUACACAGAGAGCAGAACUUGGUAACAGACUUUCCUCUCUGAAGAUAAGUAAAUUGCAUAUUAAAGGGAACUGUGACCUCACAGACUGAUGAAAUUUGAGACACUUAAGCUGCAUAUGCUGCUUCUGGGCUAUGAGUUCUGUGUCAUAUCUUAGCUUCCUUUUUCAGACAAUACAUCUUUGAUGAUCGAAAACAACAACAGCCUGAAAAAGUUCCUUGUAGUUCUAAGAGCCCAAUAGUCCAGAAUACAGUCUUUAUUAUGUUCUUCUCUGGAUAAAAGAACUGGUGGACUUUAGAACAUAAUCCAAGAAUGAAGAAAACAAAAAUCUCAAAACCUACCUUUAGGAACAAAAAGGGCACAUAGCAGGAAGCUGAAAUAUAGACCGCCUUCUGAGAGCACGGAGAACAUUUAGCAAAAAGUGGAAAAUCUGACAAUACUGUACAGUCACAGUCUUCCUCUCCAUAACAAUAAUUUUUCCUCCUCUCACUAAAAUAGAGCAAUUUUUAUUGUCACAAGCACAUGUGUAUUACUGGCAAUAAGGAUAUAGCUGUAUAGGACACCUCCUUAAACAUCUUCUUUAUUUUAAGAUUCAGUUAGGGGGAAAUGACUAGGCGUUCCCAGCACUUUCUGGUUGCCACGGAUACCUGUCAUCCACAUCCAGAGCCUGCAGGUUACACUCAGCGACUCUUGCCAGCUCAUGAAUAAUAUCGCUGAAGCCCGCUGCUGCUGCGAUAUGUACACAUGUCUUCCCACUCUCAUCAUCAUAGUUGAUUAUGGACGGCCCCUGGUGAUGGCUCAGGAUGAUGGAGCACAGAAUCCUAUUUCCACUCUGGAAAAGAGAGUCAAAGAAAGCUCAUUAUGUACAAUCCAGUGUUCUUCUCUGUCUAGGCAUGUUAAGAUAAAAACACAAAGGAGAAAAAGGAAAAAGAAAGAAAGAAAGAAAAAAGAUGAAAAGAGAAAAGAAAAUGGAAAAAAAGAAUAAAAAUACAUUCUAUCUAAGCUCUCCAACAAAUUUCCACUUGUUUCAAGUCACUGCAGAGAUUUUUGUCUCCCAUAGGAGCUAAGUUGUCUUCUAUAAUUAGCGAACGAAGGAUGGACUGAAAUUAAAUACAUGUGCAAUGGACUGACAUCAGAGCUAGAGUGAUGGAUGGGCCACCUAGACAGCAACUUGCUCAUUAGGUCUGAUCAUUUGUGCCCCCAUUUGCUGUAGAGGCUGACCACCAGGAAACUGACAGAGUUCAUCUUAAUGUUAAAGAAGUGACCAUGAUGAGUACUGACUGGUGGUGCAAUGAUGCAGGAAAAAAGCUUGUUCCUGGGUAGGGCGAGCAGGGGGCUGAGAAUUUGUCCCAGGGAGCCUGGGAAGCAGAACUGUCUGAGCAGAGGCUAUACUCUUGUAUCAGACUUCCUUUACAAAAACAAUUAAAAGAUAAAGUGAGAAUUUCCA